This 219-nucleotide ribosomal RNA is filed under the name uncultured bacterium. RNAcentral's name for it is "partial 16S ribosomal RNA". It matches the Rfam family "Bacterial small subunit ribosomal RNA", at positions 32 to 244 of the family's 1533-position model. The record is from RNAcentral.
AAUCAACGCUGGCGGCGUGCCUCAGACAUGCAAGUCGAACGAUUAAAGCUCUCUUCGGAGAGUGCAUAGAGUGGCGCACGGGUGAGUAACACGUAAGUAAUCUACCUUCGAGUGGGAGUAACGUCCGGAACGGACGCUAUACCGCAUAAUGCAGCGGCAUCGCAAGAUGACAGUUGUUAAAGGAGCAAUUCGCUUGAAGAGGAGCUUGCGGCAGAUUAG